CAGAUGCCGUAAGAAGAAGCGGGAGCACAAUGGCGUGUGCAGGUAAGCCGUUCGACAGAAUGCCCCUGAAGACGCAGGUGUCGUCGUGCCGCUCAGCAUGCUAGGAGGCCAUGGGCGAUGGGGACGGGGAACAUCGGGUGGUAGGGUGCCUGCUGCUCCAUGUUGGAUUAGUCGGGGCUCCUGCUCGCGGCUGACCAGCUCCUUCAAGAGCAGUAGCCGGAAGUGCAGGACACCGUGGGACUACAUGAGUUGUCCGUCAGCUACCACCCAGACCUUGCUGCCCACUGAAAUCGCAUUCACCCCAAAGUUGGAAGGGAGUCUUUCAUCUGGUAACCUUUUAUUAGGACUUGAGUUUUGCAGCGAUGGACCUCAUGUCAGUUUUAGGUUGCAUCCAAUGCCGAAGAGGGAGCUACUACUGGCUGGCGUCAUGGUAUGCUGAUCGCUUACAAGUACAAGGAGAUUUGGGCUUUUAUUUCGCAGGAGUUGUCGCGUGCCAGGAGCUUUGCCUAUAAAGAGGUAAAGAUAAUCCUUGGAGAGCAACACUGAGAUGAUUGAGAAGAAAAAAUUAACACUUUAGGACCAGCAUUUGCUCGCAGGCGGACAGGUACCGGCUGGAGAGGCUGAAGCUCAUGUGCGCCCGCCCAGAAGCUGUGGGAGCGCGUGUCGGCAGAGACGACUGUGGCGACGACGCUGGCCUGCCCGGAGCUGAAGAGGAGGUGCAUCGACUUCUUUGUGGUGGAGAAGAACUUCAGGAAGGCGGUGCUGACCGACUGACCGAGGGGUACGGUACCUGAAACUAAUGCAGAGUUUCCCGUCAGUUAUCGAUGAGAUGAGAGCACGGCUUGGGACUUGACUCUUGAGGCGCACGGUCGGUUGGACAUGCUGGGUUCUGGUGAAGAACGUAAUGUGUGGUGGAGGAAAAACGUUUGGAAUAUUGAUUUAUUGUAGUAUAUAUAUCCUUAUUAGAAAUGAGCUAUCUGGAACAAGAUUCUUGGGUUCUGAUGGAUCAGUACAUUUGUAAUCUGAGCCUCCUGGGGUGCGGCGUCGGGUCCUUCGUCGUGGGCGGCGAGACGGUUCCAGGCCCGCUCGCCGGUGUUCCUGGCGGAGAUCUGCGGCUCGUCCAUCGCGCUGCUUGACAUCGAGCCCGCCACGUUGAGGACCAUGGUUGCCUUGCGUUCGUGCACGCUGCCCAUUCAAUUCUUUGUCUGCUUCAUUGGCUAGAUUUUGAAUUUGAUGGACUA
Long non-coding RNA from Panicum hallii, 1241 nucleotides. RefSeq lists it as uncharacterized. The record is from RefSeq and is a predicted model, not a curated record. The transcript has 5 exons. NCBI's taxonomy places the organism in Eukaryota, Viridiplantae, Streptophyta, Magnoliopsida, Poales, Poaceae.